This is a long non-coding RNA of Sorghum bicolor (sorghum), 1312 nucleotides long. RefSeq lists it as uncharacterized. The transcript has 2 exons. The record is from RefSeq and is a predicted model, not a curated record. NCBI's taxonomy places the organism in Eukaryota, Viridiplantae, Streptophyta, Magnoliopsida, Poales, Poaceae.
UGUUUACUUCAUGAUCUACAUACAUGGAGUUGAACAAAAUUUGUUUUAUAAUGAACAAAAUUUGUUUUAUAAUGAAUAAAAUUUGUUUUAUAAUUUUAAGAUUUUUAACCCCAGGCACCCAAACACCGUGCUCGGCCAUAGGUGUCAGCGGCAUAUCACGUGACUCUCGCCCCCGUUCCUCCUCCCUGCACCCAAAUCAAAUCUGUGCACUUCGCAAUCCAGCAGAGUCCACGCGCUCCGCUGUAGGCGGCGGGGCCAGGCUCAGAAACGAAGGGGAUGGAGGACACAAUAGCGGAGAAGAAGCCCCGGACCGCCGGCGAUAGAGAUGGAGACGGCUGCAACAGCGAGCCGUCCGGCACCACAGAGAGCGGCGGCUUGGCGGCAGACUGGCGGAGAGGCUCCCCGAGGCGCUGCUGGUGGAGGUGCUGGGCCGUCUCGACCUCGACGACGCCUGCUCCGCCGCUGCGUCCUGCCGCUCGCUCCACGCCGCUGCCAACGUCGCCCUCUCCGCCCUCGACCUGUCCGUGAGCUUCACCCUCAAAAAAAAAGAGCCGGAGGUGGAGGCCGACACUCGGACGGGAGGCGGACAGAUUUUCCAGGCCAGAAUAAAAUUUUCAUGAUUAAGUAUUAGAGAAAGAUAACUUAAUCCUCUACCCAUGGAAAAUAUGUUUGCAUAUGUACUCGAGCCAAAGUUUCUUUAUUUAUUAUAAUGUGCAAAAUUUGAUAAAUGCAAAUAAAUUUCCUAGGGCUCUAGAAAUUGCAACACAAAUUUUAUUGGAUCUGUUGUGAUGUGUCCUUACCUGGAGAAAUGCAUAUGCACAAGCACAACCAUCUUUGCAUUAUAAUGAUUUAUAUGCUUUUGCCUUAUACUGUGAAAAAUAUUAAUUUUUUGUAGACAUUAAAUACUAUCUUUGCAUUAUGUCCUAUUGAAUAGUUUGACAGAGGAGCACAUACCUAUCGUUAUCACGACCUGGGGUUCUCCGGCCUCGGCCUCUGCUUCGACUACAAUGCGAUGGAGCUACAAAUUGGAUUUCAAGGUUUAGUGGGCUUUGUGAACCUAUGUUUUGGACUAUAAAAUUUGAGGUUUGCCCUUAGCUCACAAUUUAUAUAUCUAGGUGCUGGUUAUGCAUUAUUUUCACUGUUACAGUUUGUCUUUGACUAGCCUCUCCCUAGCGCUUAGAAUUCCUGUUGUCUAGAAGCUGCUUAAUCUCGUUUCAAUAAAAGCCGAGUAAUGUUGUUCUUGAAGACAGUGUGAAGAGCUGAAGCUAGAUAGCUGCAUAGUAUGUUGUGCAUGAUUAAUUCUGGAAAAGAA